RNAcentral lists this transfer RNA (75 nucleotides) under Candidatus Saccharimonadota bacterium. RNAcentral's name for it is "tRNA-Arg". It matches the Rfam family "tRNA". Rfam says of the family: Transfer RNA (tRNA) molecules are approximately 80 nucleotides in length. Their secondary structure includes four short double-helical elements and three loops (D, anti-codon, and T loops). The record is from RNAcentral. Lineage: Bacteria; Candidatus Saccharimonadota.
GCCUCCGUAGUCCAACGGAUAGAACGAUGGUCUUCGGAACCAUAGAUGUGGGUUCGAUUCCUGCCGGAGGCACCA